CGGGAGGCAGCAGUUAGGAAUCUUCCGCAAUGGGCGCAAGCCUGACGGAGCGACGCCGCUUGGAGGAUGAAGCCCUUCGGGGUGUAAACUCCUGAACUGGGGGCGAAAUCCCUGAUGAGGGGGCUGACGGUACCCAGGUAAUAGCGCCGGCCAACUCCGUGCCAGCAGCCGCGGUAAUACGGAGGGCGCGAGCGUUACCCGGAUUUACUGGGCGUAAAGGGCGUGUAGGCGGUUUGGCGCGUCUGGCGUUAAAGGCCGCGGCUCAACCGUGGGGGUGCGCUGGAUACGGCCAAGCUAGACGGCUGGAGGGGGUGGUGGAAUUCCCGGAGUAGCGGUGAAAUGCGCAGAUACCGGGAGGAACGCCGAUAGCGAAGGCAGCCACCUGGCCAGUUUGUGACGCUGAGGCGCGAGAGCGUGGGGAGCAAACCGGAUUAGAUACCCGGGUAGUCCACGCCCUAAAC
RNAcentral lists this ribosomal RNA (461 nucleotides) under uncultured bacterium. RNAcentral's name for it is "bacterial SSU rRNA". It matches the Rfam family "Bacterial small subunit ribosomal RNA", at positions 342 to 807 of the family's 1533-position model. The record is from RNAcentral.